This 192-nucleotide ribosomal RNA is filed under the name Triticum aestivum (bread wheat). Its description in RNAcentral is "partial small subunit ribosomal RNA". Lineage: Eukaryota; Viridiplantae; Streptophyta; Magnoliopsida; Poales; Poaceae. The record is from RNAcentral.
AUGGCCAUCCACAAGGCUUUGCUUCUUGCAAUCCUUGGUUGCAUCUGCCUCGGUGGUACUGUCAUUUCAGCUCGUGAGCUGAAUGAUGACUUGUCGAUGGUGGCGAAGCAUGAGAAUUGGAUGGUUCAGUAUGGCCGUGUGUUACAAGGCGCGCCGGUUCGAGGUUUUCAAAGCCAACGUCGAAUUCAUUGA